RNAcentral lists this transfer RNA (73 nucleotides) under Actinomycetota bacterium. Its description in RNAcentral is "Actinobacteria bacterium tRNA-Thr". It matches the Rfam family "tRNA". Rfam says of the family: Transfer RNA (tRNA) molecules are approximately 80 nucleotides in length. The record is from RNAcentral. Lineage: Bacteria; Bacillati; Actinomycetota.
GCCGGCAUAGCUCAAUUGGUAGAGCAGCUGAUUUGUAAUCAGCAGGUUGGGGGUUCAAGUCCCUCUGCCGGCU